UCUGUACAAGGAGGCCAUGAUGGAGGAGCACCAGCCUCUUAUAUCACAAGAAAGUGCCAGUAACAAUUCUGAGGGAAAUUUCAUAUUAUCACUAACUUAUAAAGCAAAAGAUAAAGAUAUCCUACAGCUUUCUUCAGGAAAAAACCUCAUUACCCUUAAUGUACGUCCAGGACCUCACAGUUCAGAUCUAUCGUAUAACUCCCCUAAUCAUGAGGAACCUUCUCCUGAUCAAUUACACAUUUUUACCAAAAGUAGAAAUCAGAAAGGGGUGAAACGUUUUCAGUGUGGCAAAGAAUCCACAAAAACCUCAGGUAUUUCUAUAAAGAGAAGAAGACAUAAAGGAGAGAAGCUGAACUCCUGUUCAGAAUGUAAGAAAUGUUUUAAAAAUAAAUCACAUCUUCUUAGACAUCAGAGAAUUCACACAGGAGAGAAGACACACACCUGUUCAGAAUGUUCCAAGUGCUUCACAGACAAAUCAAGUCUUGUUAGACAUGAGAAAAGUCAUACAAGUGAGAAGCCAUAUUCAUGUUCAGAAUGUGGGAAGUGCUUUACAGAUAAAUCAAGUCUUGUUAUACAUGAGAGAAGUCACACAGGAGUGAAGCUAUUUUCAUGCUCAGAAUGUGAGAAAUGUUUUACAUUGAAAGCAAAUCUUGUGGCACACGAGAGAAGGCACACAGGAGAGAAGCCAUAUUCGUGUUCAGAAUGUGAGAAAUGUUUUACAAUGAAAGCAAAUCUUGUUGCACACGAGAGAAGUCACACAGGAGAGAAGCCAUAUUCGUGUUCAGAAUGUGGGAAAUGUUUUUCAUAUAAAAUAAGUCUAGUUACACAUGAGAGAAUUCACACAGGAGAAACGCCAUUCUCAUGUUCAGAAUGUGGAAAAUGUUUUACUGCUAAAUUAAAUCUUGUUAGACAUGAGAAGAGAAUUCACAGCAGGAGAUAAGGCCAUAUUCGUGUUCAGAAUGUGGAAAUGCUUUGCACAGAAGUCAAUUCUUGUUAGACAUGAGAAAAGUCAUACAGAGAGAAACCAUAUUCAUGUUCAGAAUGUGAGAAAUGUUUUAAAGAAAAAUCUGAUCUUUUUAGACAUAUUAGAAGUCACACAGGAGUGAGACCGUAUCCAUGCUCAGAAUGUGGGAAACGGUUUACACAGAAAUCGGACCUUGUUAGUCAUGAGAGAAUUCACACAGGAGUGAAGCCAUAUUCAUGUUUAGAAUGUGAGAGAUGUUUUUCAGAUCAAUCAAGUUUUAUUAAACAUGAGAGAAUGCACGCAGGAGAGAAACCAUAUUCAUGUUCAGAAUGUGGAAAAAAGUUUUAACACAGAAAAUCAGACCUUGCUAGUCAUGAGAGAAUUCACACAGUAGAAAAACCAUAUUCAUGUUCAGAAUGUGGAAAAUGUUUUAAAGAGAAAUCAAAGCUUGUUAUACAUAAGAGAAGGCAUACAAAAGAGAACCCAUAAUCAUGCUCAGAAUGUGGUAAAUGUUUUGUACAGAAAUCAACUCUUGUUGCACAUGAGAGAAUUCAUACAGGAGAAAAGCCAUAUUUAUGUUCAGAAUGUGAGAAAUGUUUUACACAAAAAUCAGAACUUGUUUCCCAUAAGAAAACUCACACAGAAGAGAAGCCAUAUUCGAGGAGCGGAGCCUAACCGCUAAGCAAGACUGAGAUCUAAGCGAGAGCUCCCUCCUCACAGACCCCUGUUUCACAGAUCUUACACGCCAGAGAAAGCCCCACCAUGUUUUAAAAUAGGAGAGAAAAACCCAGGGAGCCUUUGGGCAUCCCCCAAAAGAAAGAAGAACCAAACAGAAGUAGACAGAUUCUUCAAGAAGACUUCCACAGCAUCGCGGGACUCGGAGGGUGAAGAAGACGACGACAGAGACUCCAUGCAAGGUACCUGCGAACUCGCACAUGCGGCAGAUAGCGGCGCACUCACAAAGUCGUUCUUCAAAGCAAGCCUGUCCCAGGCUUUAGCCCCGUUGACUCAGGAGAUAAAGGAGUUAAGAAACUAUGUGAGAUCCCUGGGCCACCGGGUGGAAAGACUUGAAGAAGAUCAAGGCCAGGUAAGGGAAACCUCCAGUCUUGCAGACUUUAUUAACGCUAUCUCAUGGGGCAAAGAAAAAAGCAUCUCC
This is an RNA transcript of Bufo bufo (common toad), 2120 nucleotides long. It is a transcript of the gene named gastrula zinc finger protein XlCGF7.1-like, with no coding region annotated. The record is from RefSeq and is a predicted model, not a curated record. The transcript has 3 exons. Lineage: Eukaryota; Metazoa; Chordata; Amphibia; Anura; Bufonidae.